UCUCUAUGGGGUCUUUAUGGGGCUUAUGGGGUCUCUGUGGGGUCUCUGUGGGUCGCUAUGGGGUCUCUAUGGGGUCUUUAUGGGGUUCUGUGUGGUUUUAUGGGGUCUCUGUGGGGCUCUGUGGGUCGGUAUGGGUCUCUAUGGGGUCUCUGUGGGUCGCUAUGGGUUGUUAUGGGGUCUCUAUGGGGUCGCUAUGGGGUUUUAUGGGGUCUCUAUGGGGCUCUGUGGAUCGCUAUGGGGUUUUAUGGGGUUUUUAUGGGGUUCUAUGGAGUCUCUGUGGGGUCUCUGUGGGGUUUUAUGGGGUUCUAUGGGGUCUUUAUGAGGUUUUAUGGGUCUCUGUGGGUCGCUGUGCGGUCUCUAUGGGGUCUCUAUGGGGUUUUAUGGGGUCUCUAUGGGUCUCUAUGGUCUCUGUGGGUCUCUGUGGGUCACUAUGGGGUCUCUAUGGGUCGCUAUGGGGUCUCUAUGGGUCGCUAUGGGGUUUUAUGGGGUUUUAUGGGGUCUCUGUGGGGCUCUGUGGGUUGCUAUGGGUCUCUAUGGGUCGCUGUGGGUCUCUAUGGGUCUCUGUGGGUCUCUAUGGGUCGCUGUGGGUCUCUGUGGGUCGCUAUGGGUCCCGCUAUGGGUCGCUGUGGGGCUGCCCCAUAGUACGCGUCGGUGGAGGAGGCGGC
Molecule: long non-coding RNA, 665 nt
Filed under: Numida meleagris (helmeted guineafowl)
Lineage: Eukaryota; Metazoa; Chordata; Aves; Galliformes; Numididae
Description: lncRNA (ENSNMEG00000001177.1)
Source: RNAcentral